RNAcentral lists this ribosomal RNA (344 nucleotides) under Parasitala reinhardti. Its description in RNAcentral is "partial 16S rRNA". The record is from RNAcentral. Lineage: Eukaryota; Metazoa; Mollusca; Gastropoda; Stylommatophora; Euconulidae.
ACUUUGACUGUGCUAAGGUAGCAUAAUAAAUUGGCUUUUAAUUGGAGUCUGGAAUCAAUGGAACCAUGGAUAAAUUCUGUCUUUUAUUAAUUUUAUAAAAUUUACUAAUAAGGUGAAAAUUCCUUAAUAUUUAAAUUAGACGAGAAGACCCUAGGAGUUUUAAUUUUGUUGGGGCGACAUAACAGCAAAAUAACCUGUUAAUUCUAUAAUUAUUAAACAAAUUUUAUUAAUAUAAAUUAAGCUACCCUAGGGAUAACAGCAUAAUUUUUAAUAAAGUUUGUGACCUCGAUGUUGGACUAGGAAUAAAUUAAUAUUAAUAAUAUUUUUUUGUGUUCUGUUCGAAC